AAUAGACUAAUAGAUACAACUACUAGGGAUAAAGAAGAUAAGAGAAGAUGUACAAGAUAAGUGGAGAUAAUAUAGAUCUA
Molecule: long non-coding RNA, 80 nt
Organism: Aricia agestis (brown argus)
Lineage: Eukaryota; Metazoa; Arthropoda; Insecta; Lepidoptera; Lycaenidae
Exons: 3
Source: RefSeq, a predicted model, not a curated record